This 744-nucleotide ribosomal RNA is filed under the name uncultured Bacteroidota bacterium. RNAcentral describes it as "uncultured Bacteroidetes bacterium partial 16S ribosomal RNA". It matches the Rfam family "Bacterial small subunit ribosomal RNA", at positions 281 to 1048 of the family's 1533-position model. Lineage: Bacteria; Pseudomonadati; Bacteroidota. The record is from RNAcentral.
ACAUAGGGGCGUGAGAGCGGAUCCCCACACGGGACUGAGACACGACCGGACUCUACGGGGAGCACCAAUAGGGAAAAAAUGGCAAUGGACGGGAGUNGGACCAGCCAUUCCGCGUGCAGGAAGAAAGGUCCUAUGGACGUAAACUGCUUUACAGAGAAGAAACGCCCUCAAUUAAUGAGGUCGACGGAUCUGCGGAAUAAGCACCGGCUACUCCGUGGCCAGCAGCCGCGGUAAUACGGGGGGUGCAAAGCGUUAUCCGGAAUCACUGGGUUUUAAAGGGUGCGCAGGCGGGACAUUAAGUCAGUGGUGAAAGUCUGUUGCUUAACGAUAGAAUUGCCGUUGAUACUGAUGUUCUUGAAUUGGGUUGAGGUUAGCGGAAUGUGACAUGUAGCGGUGAAAUGCAUAGAUAUGUCAUGGAACACCAAUUGCGAAGGCAGCUAGCUGGGCCUUGAUUGACGCUGAGGCACGAAAGCGUGGGGAGCAAACAGGAUUAGAUACCUGGUAGUCCACGCCCUAAACGAUGCUAACUCGAUGUUUGGUUUUAGGAUUGAGCAUCUAAGGGAAACCGAUAAGUUAGCCACCUGGGGAGUACGACCGCAAGGUUGAAACUCAAAGGAAUUGACGGGGGUCCGCACAAGCGGAUGGAGCAUGUGGNUUAAAUUCGAUGAUACGCGAGGACCUACUAAGGGCUAGAAUGUGAGUGACAUUCGUCAAUUAAAAAAACAAAAAAAAGGGGGGGGGGGG